GGGCAGACUCAGUGAAAUUGAAUUCGAGGUGAAGAUGCCUCGUACCCGCAGUUAGACGGAAAGACCCUAUGAACCUUUACUAUAGCUUCACAGUGGCACCAUGAUUGUAACGUGUAGGAUAGGUGGGAGGCUUUGAAGCCGGGACGCUAGUUUCGGUGGAGCCAAAACUGAAAUACCACCCUUUGCUCUUGUGUUGUCUAACCGAGGUCCGUUAUCCGGAUCCGGGACCCUGUGUGGUGGGUAGUUUGACUGGGGCGGUCGCCUCCUAAAGAGUAACGGAGGCGCGCGAUGGUGAGCUCAGGACGGUCGGAAAUCGUCCUUUGAGUGCAAUGGCAUAAGCUCGCCUUACUGUGAGACUGACACGUCGAACAGUGUCGAAAGACGGUCAUAGUGAUCCGGUGGUUUCCGCAUGGAAGGGCCAUCGCUCAACGGAUAAAAGGUACUCUAGGGAUAACAGGCUGAUAGCGCCCAAGCGUCCAUAGCGACGGCGCUGUUUGGCACCUCGAUGUCGGCUCAUCUCAUCCUGGGGCUGUAGCAGGUCCCAAGGGUAUGGCUGUUCGCCAUUUAAAGAGGUACGUGAGCUGGGUUCAGAACGUCGUGAGACAGUUCGGUCCCUAUCUUCUGCGGGAGUUGGAGUCUUGAGAGGAUCUGCCCUUAGUACGAGAGGACCGGGGUGGACGUACCACUGGUGUACCAGUUGUUCCGCCAGGAGCAGCGCUGGGUAGCUAUGUACGGACUCGAUAACCGCUGAAAGCAUCUAAGCGGGAAACGAACCUCAAUACCAGGACUCCCUAUCAGAGCCGUUAUAGACUAUGACGUUGAUAGGCUGGAUGUGGAAGAGUGGCAACACUUGAAGCUAACCAGUACUAAUUGCUCGAUUGGCUUGAAUUC
Molecule: ribosomal RNA, 891 nt
Filed under: Alphaproteobacteria bacterium
Lineage: Bacteria; Pseudomonadati; Pseudomonadota; Alphaproteobacteria
Description: partial 23S ribosomal RNA
Rfam family: Bacterial large subunit ribosomal RNA
Source: RNAcentral